GCAAACUUGGUCAUUUAGAGGAAGUAAAAGUCGUAACAAGGUUUCCGUAGGUGAACCUGCGGAAGGAUCAUUAGUGAAUUUUGUUUUCGGGAUGUGUAAAAACUCCUGGAAAUCUUUAUUCUCCAUAUGCCCACGUUGAAAUUGAGUAGUCGGCCGGGACUGGCAACAACAACAUCUGUUUGUUUGCCGUCGUGGUCGAGGUUAGCCCAAGCCCGUGUGUUUGUGUGUGUGUGUCUCUCUCUCCACUGAAAUAAGUGGAGGAGCAGCCCGCUCCCGCACUCGCACUGUUUGGCGCGCCGAAUUACCCAAUUUUUUUCAGAGACAACUGUUAAAAUUAGAAUGUGUAAUCUUUAUUAAACAAUUUAAAACUUUCAGUGACGGAUCUCUUGGCUCUCGCAUCGAUGAAGAACGCAGC
Molecule: unclassified non-coding RNA, 415 nt
Filed under: uncultured fungus
Lineage: Eukaryota; Fungi
Description: partial contains small subunit ribosomal RNA, internal transcribed spacer 1, and 5.8S ribosomal RNA
Rfam family: Eukaryotic small subunit ribosomal RNA (bases 1-73)
Source: RNAcentral